UUCAUUUUUUCAUUUGUAGCUUGCUUUGUUCUGUGGCAUGAAUGUUAGUUGAGAACUUCAGUAAAGGGAAAAUGACAAAGUUUGAUGACUGGAAUAAAACGUACAGCCUAAAAAAAUGAUCAGCAGCUCCAAAAGAGUAGAUCGGAAGGUUUUCUUAGUGGGAUAGCAAAAGCCGAUAAUUUUUCAGUAGACUGUUACAAUACAGAAAGGCAGUGGAGGACUCAAGUUUAAUCCUGUAGAUGGUGCUGUAAGAUUCGCUGGGUACACUAGGGGUGUCUUCAUGAGGGAAGUGUUUUCAAACUGUGAGUACUAGUCUAUGUAGUAUUUCAACUGUAGAGCUUUCUUCACGUAUUUUUUGGGUUUACAUCAGGUGAAAGUUAAACAAAUGUGUUUGGGAAUAUAAAACUAGCAAAGAGGUUGAAGUAGCUGUUGGUAAGAAUUAGAAAUGCUCUUUUCCUCUUAAUCCUUUUCAAAAAUGG
Protopterus annectens (West African lungfish) is the source of this 479-nucleotide long non-coding RNA. RefSeq lists it as uncharacterized. Lineage: Eukaryota; Metazoa; Chordata; Ceratodontiformes; Protopteridae. The transcript has 2 exons. The record is from RefSeq and is a predicted model, not a curated record.